This 363-nucleotide ribosomal RNA is filed under the name uncultured bacterium. RNAcentral's name for it is "partial 16S ribosomal RNA". It matches the Rfam family "Bacterial small subunit ribosomal RNA", at positions 338 to 699 of the family's 1533-position model. The record is from RNAcentral.
CCUACGGGUGGCAGCAGUGAGGAAUAUUGGUCAAUGGGCGGAAGCCUGAACCAGCCAUGUAGCGUGCGGGAUGAAGGCCCUACGGGUCGUAAACUGCUUUUGCACGAGGAUAAAACUGUCCACUUGUGUAGGUCUGCAGGUACCGUGCGAAUAAGGGCCGGCUAAUUCCGUGCCAGCAGCCGCGGUAAUACGGAAGGUCCGAGCGUUAUCCGGAUUCAUUGGGCUUAAAGGGAGCGUAGGCGGGCGUUAAAGUCAGCUGUAAAAUCGCGCGGCUCAACCGCGCCCCGCAGUUGAAACUGGACGCCUUGAGUUCACAACAGGCAGGCGGAAUUCGUGGUGUAGCGGUGAAAUGCAUAGAGAUCA